Loxodonta africana (African savanna elephant) is the source of this 104-nucleotide small nuclear RNA. NCBI's taxonomy places the organism in Eukaryota, Metazoa, Chordata, Mammalia, Proboscidea, Elephantidae. The record is from Ensembl.
GUGCUCACAUUGGCAGCACAUAUACUAAAAUUGGAAUGAUACAGAGAUUAGCAUGCAUUCUGAGCAAGGAUGAUAUACAAAUUGGUGAAGCACUCCAUACUUUU